UGGGAUGUCUUUCAAUUGGCAGGAAGGAAGUCUUUGAAACUUCUAAUAGUGGUUCGAGUCCACUCGCCCCAACCA
RNAcentral lists this transfer RNA (75 nucleotides) under uncultured archaeon. RNAcentral's name for it is "tRNA-Gln(ttg)". It matches the Rfam family "tRNA". Rfam says of the family: Transfer RNA (tRNA) molecules are approximately 80 nucleotides in length. Their secondary structure includes four short double-helical elements and three loops (D, anti-codon, and T loops). The record is from RNAcentral.